Ctenopharyngodon idella (grass carp) is the source of this 1913-nucleotide long non-coding RNA. RefSeq lists it as uncharacterized. NCBI's taxonomy places the organism in Eukaryota, Metazoa, Chordata, Actinopteri, Cypriniformes, Xenocyprididae. The record is from RefSeq and is a predicted model, not a curated record. The transcript is spliced from 5 exons.
AUUUAAACAUGACUUUUAUUUUUAUCUGUGUUGUGGCGUCAUAAUGCUGCACCAAGCUAUGUGUCUGCUAGGAUUCAGCUGAGGAGAGUUAAUUACUCUCAUCGUCUUAAACAUGACAAAGUGUGCAAACAAGUAGGAAAGGUGAAACAGCAGAGAUCUGCGUGACAUAGGAUUAUAGACAUGGAGUUUAAGAGUGAAGACAUAAGAAUUCCAGAACCAUGCAAACUGAAAAAUGAAGACACUAAGGAUCAAAUAGGUUGGUUUCCAUUUCUUAUUACAAUGUGUUUCUUCUAAAGGAAUGAACAGUAGCUUUGGAAAAUGUUUACAGUCAUAUAAACUGUUGUUUAAUAAGGAGUUACUGAUUGAAAGUCAGGACUGGAAUCUCAGCCUCAGACGUCACGCAUACACUCUGUUCACUGAACGUCUGAUGCAGGUGUGUCUAAAUUCGGUCCUUGAGGGCCACUGUCCUGCAGAGUUUAACACCAAAUUGCCUCAACACACCUGUCUGGAAGCCUGCAUCUCAAUGUGCAUACUAUCCAUCCUAAAUAGUAUGUGACAUUAGUAAUAUUCAAUACUAUUUAGGGUGGAUAGUAUGCACAUUGGGAUGCAGGGGAAAUUUCUAGUACACCUAGUCAGACCUUGAUUAGCUGGUUCAGGUGUGUUUAAUUGGGGUUGGAGCUAAACUCUGCAGGACAGUGGCCCUCCAGGUUAUGGUAUGGGUAUGGUUUGUAUAUCUGCAGUCAUAGUUUUGCUUUCCAUUUUUGAAUGCCAAAUAUAGAUGUAUCUGCUUAAAAAGACAUAUCUCAUUUACAUGUAGGUGCAGAACAUGCAUGCUAGUUUACAGUCACCUGUAGUUCUUUCGGUGUGUUCAAGCUCAGCUUUUUUGCCCUGACGCAGGCAACAGCAUUAGCACUAGUUCUUUGGUGUCGGUUUGGUGUGUCCCUACCCUUAUGCUUUAGCCACAUUGGAACAGCGGUCUGGAGGAUGGAUGAUUCAGCUGCAGGGGCCAUCUUCUGGUGAGAUGCGGGAAUUCAUUCAGCACGACCCUCUCAUGUUUUUGUCAAAGAAUACAGCUGUGUCCCAAUUCAAGAGCUGCAUCCUUCGAAGGCCGCAUUUGAAGGCCGAUUGUGUCACGAAGGCUGUCCUAAUUCGAAGGGUCCUUUGAAAGCAGCCUACUGUCCUUCUUUCCCCGGGCCGUGAAGGGUAGAAUGAGUGGAUCCUUUGCAGCCUUGUCUAUCCCGCACCAGUGACGACAGGAAUUUUUUUCCGAAGAAAAAUGGCGGGUGACAGAGGGAGCAAGGAGCAGAGAGCUGAGUUUAUUAAAAUGAAGGCCGAAAAUGAGUAUUUAUUUACUGGGGCCAAAAACUCGGCCAGUGUGGCUUGGAGGGCAAUUCUGGAGAAAAUGGGCCUCCUGCAGGUCACUCCCUGGCAGGAUUGCAAGCGUCCUGGGACAGGUGAGGGAGCGAGUGAGAAACCCACUGCUGCAACUUUGUCCUCAUGGAUGAGGUGUUGGGACAGAUGCAUUCCAACAACGCCGUAUCCUAGUUGCCUCCAUCCCUGAGGACACACCAGGGCCAAGUUCAGCAGUGGAUGACCAAGAUGAGGAGGAGCCAGCACCAGCCAAGAGAAAAAGAGACCAAAAGGAUGAGCUGGAUGAAGUUUCACAGAGAGACAGAGGAGAGGAGAUCAAGAGCAGGGAGAGAAUGGACAGAUUGUUUUCUCUUCUUAAGAGAAUGGUAGAGAAAUAAAAUUUUGGUUAUGUAAAUUAAAAUUUGUAAAUGAAAGCAAGAAAUUGUUUUAUAUAUUAUUUGUUUUGCAAGUUAUAAUUUGUAAAUGAAAAAAAUAUUCUGUAAAUUUUUGUCAUGUCAAUUAAUUUGUAAAUGAAACCAAAUAAAUUGUUCUAUACAUUUUAA